RNAcentral lists this ribosomal RNA (458 nucleotides) under uncultured bacterium. RNAcentral describes it as "bacterial SSU rRNA". It matches the Rfam family "Bacterial small subunit ribosomal RNA", at positions 28 to 507 of the family's 1533-position model. The record is from RNAcentral.
GAUGAACGUUGGCGGUUGCCUAAUACAUGCAAGUCGAACGGAGACUGUAGCAAUACUGUCUUAGUGGCGAACGGGUGAGUAACGCGUUGGUGAUCUGCCUCGAAGUGUGGAAUAACCUCCCGAAAGGGAAGCUAAUACCGCAUAGUCUCUCAAGGUUUAGAAAAUUGAGAGUAAAGGAUUUAUUCGCUUCGAGAGGAGCCUGCGUCCCAUCAGCUAGUUGGUAGGGUAACGGCCUACCAAGGCAAUGACGGGUAGGGGACCUGAGAGGGUGGCCCCCCACAAUGGAACUGAAACACGGUCCAUACACCUACGGGUGGCAGCAGUAGGGAAUAUUAGUAAUGGGCGAAAGCCUGAACUAGCAACGCCGCGUGUGCGAAGAAGGCCUUCGGGUUGUAAAGCACUUUUUGAGAGGAUGAGGAAGGACGGUACUCUCAGAAUAAGUCUCGGCUAACUACGUG